RNAcentral lists this ribosomal RNA (800 nucleotides) under Halomonas sp. RNAcentral describes it as "bacterial SSU rRNA". It matches the Rfam family "Bacterial small subunit ribosomal RNA", at positions 51 to 849 of the family's 1533-position model. The record is from RNAcentral. Lineage: Bacteria; Pseudomonadati; Pseudomonadota; Gammaproteobacteria; Oceanospirillales; Halomonadaceae.
ACACAUGCAAGUCGAGCGGUAACAGAUCCAGCUUGCUGGAUGCUGACGAGCGGCGGACGGGUGAGUAAUGCAUAGGAAUCUGCCCGAUAGUGGGGGAUAACCUGGGGAAACCCAGGCUAAUACCGCAUACGUCCUACGGGAGAAAGGGGGCUCCGGCUCCCGCUAUGGGAUGAGCCUAUGUCGGAUUAGCUAGUUGGUGAGGUAACGGCUCACCAAGGCCACGAUCCGUAGCUGGUCUGAGAGGAUGAUCAGCCACAUCGGGACUGAGACACGGCCCGAACUCCUACGGGAGGCAGCAGUGGGGAAUAUUGGACAAUGGGGGCAACCCUGAUCCAGCCAUGCCGCGUGUGUGAAGAAGGCCCUCGGGUUGUAAAGCACUUUCAGCGAGGAAGAACGCCUGGCGGUUAAUACCCGCUAGGAAAGACAUCACUCGCAGAAGAAGCACCGGCUAACUCCGUGCCAGCAGCCGCGGUAAUACGGAGGGUGCAAGCGUUAAUCGGAAUUACUGGGCGUAAAGCGCGCGUAGGUGGCUUGAUAAGCCGGUUGUGAAAGCCCCGGGCUCAACCUGGGAACGGCAUCCGGAACUGUCAAGCUAGAGUGCAGGAGAGGAAGGUAGAAUUCCCGGUGUAGCGGUGAAAUGCGUAGAGAUCGGGAGGAAUACCAGUGGCGAAGGCGGCCUUCUGGACUGACACUGACACUGAGGUGCGAAAGCGUGGGUAGCAAACAGGAUUAGAUACCCUGGUAGUCCACGCCGUAACGAUGUCGACCAGCCGUUGGGUGCCUAGCGCACUUUGUGGCGA